CCAGAUCUUCAUCCCGUUGGAAGCUCUGGUUUAUCUGCAGAAUAUGGAUGAAACUCUUUUUUCAGACCUGUCCGAGGAAUACUGGAGAUGUCACAUGGAACAACUAUGAACUGUGGAGUACUGCAUAGUGAUUCUGAGGCCUGAAAUGGAAAUUUCCUGGACUGAGCCUUAUCAUCCUUCAAAAGGCCACAGCUUUCCCUUCUGCACUGCCCUCUCAUCUCUCCCA
RNAcentral lists this long non-coding RNA (226 nucleotides) under Pogona vitticeps (central bearded dragon). RNAcentral's name for it is "lncRNA (ENSPVIG00000019193.1)". The record is from RNAcentral. Lineage: Eukaryota; Metazoa; Chordata; Lepidosauria; Squamata; Agamidae.